Molecule: small nucleolar RNA, 130 nt
Organism: Dipodomys ordii (Ord's kangaroo rat)
Lineage: Eukaryota; Metazoa; Chordata; Mammalia; Rodentia; Heteromyidae
Source: Ensembl
GAUGUCCAGAUGCUAACCACAGGCUGUGUUCUUACACUGACUAUAGAAAGAGAAGGCAGAGUAAAUCUACCCCAUAUACACAUCAGCCCAGACCCCAUGCCUGGUCAGUAUUGUGAAUGGGGAGGCAUGG